GGUUAAGAAAUUAAGGGCGCACGGAGAAUGCCUUGGUAGUAAGAGCCGAUGAAGGACGUGAUAAGCUGCGAUAAGCUAAGACAAGCUGCAAUUGAGCGUAAUAGUCUUAGAUUUCCGAAUGG
This 122-nucleotide ribosomal RNA is filed under the name Psychrilyobacter sp. S5. RNAcentral's name for it is "Bacterial large subunit ribosomal RNA". It matches the Rfam family "Bacterial large subunit ribosomal RNA", at positions 1 to 121 of the family's 2925-position model. Lineage: Bacteria; Fusobacteriati; Fusobacteriota; Fusobacteriia; Fusobacteriales; Fusobacteriaceae. RNAcentral also lists the same sequence under 1 other name. The record is from Rfam by way of RNAcentral.